This 90-nucleotide microRNA precursor is filed under the name Erythranthe guttata (spotted monkey flower). RNAcentral's name for it is "Mimulus guttatus (spotted monkey flower) mir-160 microRNA precursor family". It matches the Rfam family "mir-160 microRNA precursor family". Rfam says of the family: The hairpin precursors (represented here) are predicted based on base pairing and cross-species conservation -- their extents are not known. In this case the mature sequence is excised from the 5' arm of the hairpin. The record is from Rfam by way of RNAcentral. Lineage: Eukaryota; Viridiplantae; Streptophyta; Magnoliopsida; Lamiales; Phrymaceae.
ACAUGCCUGGCUCCCUGUAUGCCACUCGGCUAUACCAAUCCGAUGGAGUUGAUUGGUUGAAUCGGGUGGCGUACGAGGAGCGAAGCAUGU